GGUGAACGCUGGCGGCGUGCCUAAUACAUGCAAGUCGAGCGAACGGACGAGAAGCUUGCUUCUCUGAUGUUAGCGGCGGACGGGUGAGUAACACGUGGAUAACCUACCUAUAAGACUGGGAUAACUUCGGGAAACCGGAGCUAAUACCGGAUAAUAUUUUGAACCGCAUGGUUCAAAAGUGAAAGACGGUCUUGCUGUCACUUAUAGAUGGAUCCGCGCUGCAUUAGCUAGUUGGUAAGGUAACGGCUUACCAAGGCAACGAUGCAUAGCCGACCUGAGAGGGUGAUCGGCCACACUGGAACUGAGACACGGUCCAGACUCCUACGGGAGGCAGCAGUAGGGAAUCUUCCGCAAUGGGCGAAAGCCUGACGGAGCAACGCCGCGUGAGUGAUGAAGGUCUUCGGAUCGUAAAACUCUGUUAUUAGGGAAGAACAUAUGUGUAAGUAACUGUGCACAUCUUGACGGUACCUAAUCAGAAAGCCACGGCUAACUACGUGCCAGCAGCCGCGGUAAUACGUAGGUGGCAAGCGUUAUCCGGAAUUAUUGGGCGUAAAGCGCGCGUAGGCGGUUUUUUAAGUCUGAUGUGAAAGCCCACGGCUCAACCGUGGAGGGUCAUUGGAAACUGGAAAACUUGAGUGCAGAAGAGGAAAGUGGAAUUCCAUGUGUAGCGGUGAAAUGCGCAGAGAUAUGGAGGAACACCAGCGGCGAAGGCGACUUUCUGGUCUGUAACUGACACUGAUGUGCGAAAGCGUGGGGAUCAAACAGGAUUAGAUACCCUGGUAGUCCACGCCGUAAACGAUGAGUGCUAAGUGUUAGGGGGUUUCCGCCCCUUAGUGCUGCAGCUAACGCAUUAAGCACUCCGCCUGGGGAGUACGACCGCAAGGUUGAAACUCAAAGGAAUUGACGGGGACCCGCACAAGCGGUGGAGCAUGUGGUUUAAUUCGAAGCAACGCGAAGAACCUUACCAAAUCUUGACAUCCUUUGACAACUCUAGAGAUAGAGCCUUCCCCUUCGGGGGACAAAGUGACAGGUGGUGCAUGGUUGUCGUCAGCUCGUGUCGUGAGAUGUUGGGUUAAGUCCCGCAACGAGCGCAACCCUUAAGCUUAGUUGCCAUCAUUAAGUUGGGCACUCUAAGUUGACUGCCGGUGACAAACCGGAGGAAGGUGGGGAUGACGUCAAAUCAUCAUGCCCCUUAUGAUUUGGGCUACACACGUGCUACAAUGGACAAUACAAAGGGCAGCGAAACCGCGAGGUCAAGCAAAUCCCAUAAAGUUGUUCUCAGUUCGGAUUGUAGUCUGCAACUCGACUACAUGAAGCUGGAAUCGCUAGUAAUCGUAGAUCAGCAUGCUACGGUGAAUACGUUCCCGGGUCU
RNAcentral lists this ribosomal RNA (1372 nucleotides) under uncultured bacterium. Its description in RNAcentral is "bacterial SSU rRNA". It matches the Rfam family "Bacterial small subunit ribosomal RNA", at positions 28 to 1381 of the family's 1533-position model. The record is from RNAcentral.